Molecule: unclassified non-coding RNA, 363 nt
Filed under: Hevea brasiliensis (rubber tree)
Lineage: Eukaryota; Viridiplantae; Streptophyta; Magnoliopsida; Malpighiales; Euphorbiaceae
Source: RNAcentral
UCAACAUAAUCUUCAAGCCAUAAGCAAGCAAACCCCAAAUCACAAAGUUAUUAACAUAACAUAAACUUGAACUGAAAUUUAAACUUAUAAAAUACCAUGAUAGUUAUAUUCAACAGGAAACUCUUUUCUUUUGCCACCAUUCUCGUAUUGGGUUAGCAAGUUAGUCGAUCCAAUGAUUCUUUACGAUCCCUCAGAACGAUUGCCCUUUAGAAGCACAAAAAAACAAUUCCCACAAUAUGCCAUCUCAGCGUCAAGGUGAGUGUUGCUCAGGGUCCUAAAAACUGCCAUCCUACAAUCAGAAAAAGAAAAAGACAAUGCUUUCUGUGCACAUCGAAGCGAAAUUUACAGUUAACCUCCCCCAGG